RNAcentral lists this ribosomal RNA (484 nucleotides) under uncultured bacterium. Its description in RNAcentral is "partial 16S ribosomal RNA". It matches the Rfam family "Bacterial small subunit ribosomal RNA", at positions 30 to 507 of the family's 1533-position model. The record is from RNAcentral.
AUUGAACGCUGGCGGCAGGCCUAACACAUGCAAGUCGAGCGGAUGAAGGGAGCUUGCUCCUGGAUUCAGCGGCGGACGGGUGAGUAAUGCCUAGGAAUCUGCCUGGUAUUGGGGGAUAACGUCAGGAAACGGGCGCUAAUACCGCAUACGUCCUGAGGGAGAAAGUGGGGGAUCUUCGGACCUCACGCUAUCAGAUGAGCCUAGGUCGGAUUAGCUAGUUGGUGGGGUAAAGGCCUACCAAGGCGACGAUCCGUAACUGGUCUGAGAGGAUGAUCAGUCACACUGGAACUGAGACACGGUCCAGACUCCUACGGGAGGCAGCAGUGGGGAAUAUUGGACAAUGGGCGAAAGCCUGAUCCAGCCAUGCCGCGUGUGUGAAGAAGGUCUUCGGAUUGUAAAGCACUUUAAGUUGGGAGGAAGGGCAGUAAGUUAAUACCUUGCUGUUUUGACGUUACCAACAGAAUAAGCACCGGCUAACUUCGUG